AAGCUUACUAAGCAUACAUAUAUUGGAAAAAAACCUUUUUUAAGCCGAUUAGCCAUAAAAAUACAACGUAAUUGAACUUUGGAGCCGCAAUAAGUGUGCCCAAUAUUCGGUAGUCGCACUGUAGGCGCUAUCUAAUUAUAUGCUAUUCAUGUUCUAUCUAAAAUCUGCUCUCUAUAAAUCGCAUUCCGGCGACUUCCUGUCGACACUCACACACAAACCAAAACAAGAAAAACAAUAAAAAAUCGUUAAAAGAGCAACAAAAAUCCAGUCAAAAACUGUCCACUGUCCACAGAAAUGCAAUAAAUUUUGAAAUCAGCUCUGGUAUUUUUUACUACUUCUCACCAGACGACAGAUAUCACGCCCCUCGCCAACGAUUCCCCUUUCUACAAAUAGAUGUGCGAAAAAAAUAAUAAAGCAUAUAUAAAACAUUUGUUUUAAAGCAAUUUUGAAUGCUUUUAAAACCCUUUAAUAUUUUUUGUGGCUGUCAUAAACCAUCUUGUAAUAAAUUAGUCGAGAGGCGGGAAAAUAUAAAUUAUUAUUUGGGGGUCAGGAAUCUCACAAAAGGGGUAUAUAUAAUAGGUAUGUCUUCAUUUCAUUUGUAGUUUGGGGCUAAGUCUCAUAUUUCUUUUUAACAAAAAUUAAUUGGAAAACUUGGAAAAUAAAUGAUUUAAUACUUAAAUAAAUUGGGAUUUAAUAAAGGGGAUUAUUGUUCUAUUGCCCAAGCUUUGAUGUUAUAAUAUCGUUUAUAGUGAAACAUUUAGGUUAAUUAAAAUAAUUUUUUAAAAAUAAUAUGUAUAGCUGAAGAAAUAUAACUAUUAAAUCGUUCCACGUUUACACUACUCAAUCUUUAUUGCGUUUUCAUGUUUCUGUUCCUCACCCUUAAUAAUAUUGCCUAAAAAUUAUAAGUGAAUUACAGCAGAAAAUCUCGAGUUUAAUUAGAAAUGACACCAGAAAAAAGGUAAUUUUCUCGCCUGAAAACCAAAGUGCCGGGAUUAGCUUCGAUUAAAUCUUUCAAAGUCGGUUUUAGGUUGAGAGAAAAAGCAAAGAAUUUCCCAGAAGAGCUUUAUCUUUUCAGCUCUAUCGGAGCCACAAGGUUUUGGCUUCGGUUUGACUUUGGCUAUGGCUUAGGCUACGGUUAUGGCGAUGAAAACAAAGGCCCGGGCCAUGGAGUUUUGAUAGAGGAACCAGAACAAAACCAAGUCAAAGUCGCGUGUAGGAUCGUCCCCUCUCUCUCUCUCUAGGUGUCUCACCCCUUCUCUUUCGCACAGCAGUAGGCAAAUCACUUCCGUUCAAUGAACCCAUGCGUAAGCCAGCUCUUCAUCAGCUCUUUUGCUUUUGCUCUUGCUCUUGCCUUUUGCUUUUCCUUUGCCAUUGCUAUGCUAUUGCUAUUGCUAUUGCCUCUUGGCUAUGCCACACACACAGUCGCACACCACACACACACACACACUCGCAGCAACACACAGCGACACACAUGUGGCUCAGUCUCAGUUUUUUCUCUCUGCUUUUUACAUACAAAUGUGGUUAAAAUACUAGAAGCUACAUGAAGUUAACUUUACAAAAAUUGUUAGAAAUUGUAGGUAUUACCAAAAAUUCAGUCUAUAAUAGAUGUUGUAGGUUUCCCUAAACUAAAUCACAUUAAAUAAAAAGUUGUAUUGUUUUCAUUUUAAACUAAGUAAGCAUUAAAUAAUUAAAUGUUGAUAAAAGAGUCUCUUGAUUUUGUCUUUAUGUACAUCUUUAAAAAUAACAUCUUUAAAGAAAAUGAAUUGCUUCUAUUAUUUCUUUGAUGACUGUAAGAAAUUUCCACACUCGCGCACAUAAAAGUAGAAGAGUUCUCAUUGCUUUGUCGUCUUUGGUUCACCUUUACAAAUCCACCUGGCCUCCCACCUCGGUUUUUCCCAUUCUCGCCCGCCUAGCAUAGGAAUGUUACGCAUACGCCUCGUAUGCUGUCACGGAAAAUUUGACUCACUUGGCCGGCACAUUCCAAACAUCUUUACGACUGGCCAUUAAAAUGGUUAUUAUGUUUUUAAGUUACACCCGCCACCCUUUCGAAGAAUGCGAAAUAUUUGCAUAAAACAAAAUUUUAAUUAAAACUUCAUGAGAGCAACUCGAUUGACCAGUAAAUUAAUCGAAAGCUAAUUAAACAGCUGACGACAUGGGCACACACAUAUAUAGGGCCAAAUCAAGGUCUUUUGUUUUUGCCAUAUUGCCGUCUCUGUCGCGCAAUAUGUGUACAUAUAUCGCUCAUACGCCCCAUGGCCGCUUAUCAAGCGUCUGGUCUGGUUCUUCUGCCUGCUUCUGCGUCGCUUCUUUGGCUUCUGGACGGAGUGAGAAAAGAAAAAGACCCAACACAGACGCACAAUAUAGAGAUACCCAUGGACUUGAGCACCUGUCCGACCGGGCGUCGACGUCAACAACACUUCCCGCGCCACCCACAUGACCACCACCACGAAGUCAGCAACACCACACACUCGAAAAAAUAAAACCUGGGGAGUUCUAGAAAAGUUGUUGUUCUGGGGUAUUCCUAAGAUCUUAGGAUUACCAAUAAAAAGUUUUAAAAAUUA
Long non-coding RNA from Drosophila elegans, 2561 nucleotides. RefSeq lists it as uncharacterized. The transcript has 2 exons. Lineage: Eukaryota; Metazoa; Arthropoda; Insecta; Diptera; Drosophilidae. The record is from RefSeq and is a predicted model, not a curated record.